This 702-nucleotide ribosomal RNA is filed under the name uncultured Colwellia sp. RNAcentral describes it as "bacterial SSU rRNA". It matches the Rfam family "Bacterial small subunit ribosomal RNA", at positions 56 to 756 of the family's 1533-position model. Lineage: Bacteria; Pseudomonadati; Pseudomonadota; Gammaproteobacteria; Alteromonadales; Colwelliaceae. The record is from RNAcentral.
UGCAAGUCGAGCGGUACAUUUCUAGCUUGCUAGAAGAUGACGAGCGGCGGACGGGUGAGUAAUGCUUGGGAAUAUGCCUUAUGGUGGGGGACAACAGUUGGAAACGACUGCUAAUACCGCAUAACGUCUACGGACCAAAGGGGGGGAUCUUCGGACCUCCCGCCAUUUGAUUAGCCCAAGUGAGAUUAGCUAGUUGGUGAGGUAAUGGCUCACCAAGGCGACGAUCUCUAGCUGGUUUGAGAGGAUGAUCAGCCACACUGGGACUGAGACACGGCCCAGACUCCUACGGGAGGCAGCAGUGGGGAAUAUUGCACAAUGGGCGAAAGCCUGAUGCAGCCAUGCCGCGUGUGUGAAGAAGGCCUUCGGGUUGUAAAGCACUUUCAGUUGUGAGGAAAGGUGGGUAGUUAAUAGCUGCUCACUGUGACGUUAGCAACAGAAGAAGCACCGGCUAACUUCGUGCCAGCAGCCGCGGUAAUACGAGGGGUGCAAGCGUUAAUCGGAAUUACUGGGCGUACAGCGUUCGUAGGCGGUCUAUUAAGCAAGAUGUGAAAGCCCAGGGCUCAACCUUGGAACUGCAUUUGAACUGGUAGACUAGAGUACUGUAGAGGGUGGUGGAAUUUCCAGUGUAGCGGUGAUAUGCGUAGAGAUUGAUGAUCAUCAGUGUCGAUGCUGUCACCUGGACAGAUACUGACGCUGAGACGA